RNAcentral lists this ribosomal RNA (274 nucleotides) under uncultured bacterium. Its description in RNAcentral is "partial 16S ribosomal RNA". It matches the Rfam family "Bacterial small subunit ribosomal RNA", at positions 523 to 796 of the family's 1533-position model. The record is from RNAcentral.
AUACGGAGGGUCCAAGCGUUAUCCGGAUUCAUUGGGUUUAAAGGGUGCGCAGGCGGGCUUGUAAGUCAGUGGUGAAAUACUGCCGCUUAACGGUAGAACUGCCAUUGAUACUGCAAGUCUUGAAUAUGGUUGAGGUAGGCGGAAUGUGUUGUGUAGCGGUGAAAUGCAUAGAUAUGACACAGAACGCCAAUUGCGAAGGCAGCUUACUAAGCCAUUAUUGACGCUGAGGCACGAAAGCGUGGGGAGCGAACAGGAUUAGAUACCCUAGUAGUCC